UACGAAGGGGGCUAGCGUUGCUCGGAAUCACUGGGCGUAAAGAGCUCGUAGGCGGUGUGUCGCGUCGGCCGUGAAAACCUGCAGCUUAACUGUGGGCUUGCGGUCGAUACGGGCAUCACUGGAGUUCGGCAGGGGAGACUGGAAUUCCUGGUGUAGCGGUGAAAUGCGCAGAUAUCAGGAGGAACACCGGUGGCGAAGGCGGGUCUCUGGGCCGAUACUGACGCUGAGGAGCGAAAGCGUGGGGAGCGAACAGG
This 254-nucleotide ribosomal RNA is filed under the name uncultured bacterium. RNAcentral's name for it is "partial 16S ribosomal RNA". It matches the Rfam family "Bacterial small subunit ribosomal RNA", at positions 524 to 776 of the family's 1533-position model. The record is from RNAcentral.